Long non-coding RNA from Lolium rigidum, 2036 nucleotides. RefSeq lists it as uncharacterized. The transcript is spliced from 2 exons. The record is from RefSeq and is a predicted model, not a curated record. NCBI's taxonomy places the organism in Eukaryota, Viridiplantae, Streptophyta, Magnoliopsida, Poales, Poaceae.
CUCUCCGUCCGAUGCGAUCCACCCGUGUCCUCCGCUCCUCCCCCGCCACCACUAGUUUCUUAUCCACUUCGCUAGCUCCCGAUCUCGUCGGCGUGCAACCUCUACUGCCAUGCCGCCUCUAUUCGCCGGCCCGUCGCCACACCGUCCGCGCCUCCUCACCGCCCGACGCCCUCUAGUGCCGCCCCCUCCACCAGAUACUCUCGCCGCCGCCUCCGCCAUUGGGGACCCGGACGUAGAUGCCCUCCGCCGCCUCUCCGACAACCUCGCCCGCAGCCUUCCGCUUGCCCGACAACUUCGCCUUCCUCGAAGAAUCCAGCGUCGUCGUCCAGGGUUCACCGGCCUGCACGCGCACAGCUUCAUGCUCCCCACCCAGAGUCCACCCGGAGUCCCUUCCUGCAUGCCGUAUACUCGCGCAGCGCUGCCACCGAUUCGCCCCGUCGCGGUGGGCGUCCGGCUGGAAGUUGAACGCUGGCUUGAAUGAGCGGGUCGAGAGGAGGCGCCCCCGUUCUGGCGAGGAUGCUGGUUCGCCCUUCCGUGGAGAUGCAAUGGAAACGGGCGAGGAGCCGAGAUGCAAUGGAGACGGGCGAGGAGCCGGGGACGGGGAGAAGCAGGUAGUCGGGGGUUCGCUGAUGCUGCUCCAGAUGCGUUUGACCUCUGGCUUCUGGUGGUUCAUCCGGUUGUGGACAAUCCACCAGAUAUGUGCCGCGUCCCUUUCGUGUUCCCUUCUCUCCCCCUCCCAUCUCUUGUUUUGCUCUGUUUUCCAUCCAAAAGUUAUAGUGCUUGAUGGUUGUUGCUACUUGCUAGGUAUUUGUCCAGUACUAUUUUUUGGUGUGAGUUAGUCAAUUAGUAAUUUUGGCUACUAUUUCCGGUUUUAGCACUGAUGCACAAUUGUUCAAAGAUGGCCAUUACAUCUAGAGUGAUGUGUGAUUCUCUUAUUUCUACAUUUAGAAUGAAGGAUAGAUCUAACACUCGCUAUUAUCCGCCAAUUCUCUGUAUCUAAUUGAUGUAAUUUCAAUUGUUUUUUUACAUCUAGACUUGUUAGAUUCUUUUAUCUGUACAUCUAGAAUGAUGAAAAUAUGUAACACUAGUAAUUAUUUCUCCACUUUAUAUGUAUUUUUCGGUAAUUUUUUUACAUCUAGACAGCUGUGAGAUUCUUUUAUUUGUACAUCUAGAAUGAUGAAAAUAUGUAACAAUAGUAAUUAUUUCUCCACUUUAUAUGUAAUUUCCAGUCAUUUUUUACAUCUAGACAGCUGUGAGAUUCUUGUAUUUGUACAUGUAGAAUGAUAAAAUAUGACUAGUAAUUAUUUCUCCACUUUAUAUGUAAUUUUCAGUCAUUUUUUACAUCUAGACUGAUGAAACGAUCAAACUGAAACGGUAGAAUGCUUGUUUGCUUUUCCAACUAGGAUGCUACUUCUGAAUUUAACUCAUGUUACUUUAUGUAAUUUUCUUUAUGUAGGUUGUAACUUUCUCAAAUUAUUACAUGCACACAAUCUAAUAUGCUAUUUUAUAUGUUGUACCCAACAUAUUAGCAUGGCAGCAUGUAUAUUCCAUUCUGUCACCCCUACUUUUAUGUAUGCUGUAACUAUCUCAAUUACCCGCAAGGUUUAUUACAUACAAGAAAUUUAUUGUGCUUUUUUAUAUGCAGCAGAUGGCAUAUUAACAUGUUGCUCACACGCCACCAUGGUAGCAUCACUCAUGUCACCUGCAAUUGGAGUGAGCAUAAACCUGAAGGAUGUUUUCUUCGUCUCAUACAUGUCAUUUGAGAGUGGAUCUCAAAAACUUCAUGAAAUACUAGAUGCUUGUGUGUUCAUUGUUUUCACAGCGAACCUUUUUCUACAUCCUAGAUCACUUUUGUCAUGCUGCAAAGCAUAUCAGUUCUUUCCUACCUUUUUGAGUGAUCUACCAUGACACCGGGCUUGCUUUGUUGACAUCCAUAGAUCUUUUGUUACAUCUAAACACUGUUUUUGUCCUUGGGAUGGGGGACAGGUGGGUGGGUGUAGGUGAUCCAGAUGAAUCAUCCACACAAAACCAUUUUA